This 253-nucleotide ribosomal RNA is filed under the name uncultured bacterium. RNAcentral describes it as "partial 16S ribosomal RNA". It matches the Rfam family "Bacterial small subunit ribosomal RNA", at positions 524 to 776 of the family's 1533-position model. The record is from RNAcentral.
UACAGGGGGUGCAAACGUUGCUCGGAAUUAUUGGGCGUAAAGCGCGCGUAGGCGGCUACCUAAGUCGGAUGUGAAAGCCCCUGGCUUAACCGGGGAAGUGCACCCGAAACUGGGUAGCUAGAGUGCAAAAGAGGGUCGCGGAAUUCCCAGUGUAGAGGUGAAAUUCGCAGAUAUCAGGAGGAACACCGGUGGCGAAGGCGGGUCUCUGGGCAGUAACUGACGCUGAGGAGCGAAAGCGUGGGUAGCGAACAGG